Molecule: ribosomal RNA, 460 nt
Filed under: Dysdercus sp. WCW-2003b
Lineage: Eukaryota; Metazoa; Arthropoda; Insecta; Hemiptera; Pyrrhocoridae
Description: SSU rRNA
Rfam family: Eukaryotic small subunit ribosomal RNA
Source: RNAcentral
CGGCUACCACAUCCAAGGAAGGCAGCAGGCACGCAAAUUACCCACUCCCGGCACGGGGAGGUAGUGACAAAAAAUAACGAUACGGGACUCAUCCGAGGCCCCGUAAUCGGAAUGAGAACAUCCUAAAUCCUUUAACGAGGAUCUAUUGGAGGGCAAGUCUGGUGCCAGCAGCCGCGGUAAUUCCAGCUCCAAUAGCGUAUAUUAAAGUUGUUGCGGUUAAAAAGCUCGUAGUUGGUUCUGCGUGCCACGCUGUCGGUUCACCGCCUGUCGGUGCAACUGGCAUGCCGUGGCAUGUCCUGUCGGUGGCGUGCAGGCUUCGCGGCGCUCCCUGCAUGAUACGUUGUGUAGGUCGUCGAGUAGUCCUCGUACGCCGUCUCAAUCCUGCCGCGGUGCUCUUUACCGAGUGUCGAGGUAGGCCGGCACAUUUUACUUUGAACAAAUUCUUGGCAAAUGCUUUCGC